RNAcentral lists this ribosomal RNA (424 nucleotides) under uncultured bacterium. RNAcentral's name for it is "bacterial SSU rRNA". It matches the Rfam family "Bacterial small subunit ribosomal RNA", at positions 355 to 775 of the family's 1533-position model. The record is from RNAcentral.
UGAGGAAUAUUGGUCAAUGGGCGCAAGCCUGAACCAGCCAUCCCGCGUGCAGGAAGACGGCGCUAUGCGUUGUAAACUGCUUUUCCAGGGAGAGAAACUUGCGCACGUGUUGCGCAAUUGACGGUACCCUGGGAAUAAGCAUCGGCUAACUCCGUGCCAGCAGCCGCGGUAAUACGGAGGAUGCGAGCGUUAUCCGGAUUCAUUGGGUUUAAAGGGUGCGUAGGCGGACUAUUAAGUCAGUGGUGAAAUCCUGCAGCUUAACUGCAGAACUGCCAUUGAUACUGAUAGCCUUGAGUUUGGUUAAGGUAGGCGGAAUGUGUAAUGUAGCGGUGAAAUGCUUAGAUAUUACACAGAACACCAAUUGCGUAGGCAGCUUACUGAGCCGACACUGACGCUGAGGCACGAAAGCGUGGGUAGCAAACAG